UACGUAGGGGGCAAGCGUUGUCCGGAUUUAUUGGGCGUAAAGAGCGUGUAGGCGGCUAUUUAAGUCCUGCGUGAAAUCCUGCGGCUCAACCGCAGACGGUCGUGGGAAACUGGAUGGCUAGAGUGCGGGAGAGGAGAGUGGAAUUCCCGGUGUAGCGGUGAAAUGCGCAGAUAUCGGGAAGAACACCCGUGGCGAAGGCGGCUCUCUGGAACGCAACUGACGCUGAGACGCGAAAGCUAGGGGAGCAAACAGG
This 253-nucleotide ribosomal RNA is filed under the name uncultured bacterium. RNAcentral describes it as "partial 16S ribosomal RNA". It matches the Rfam family "Bacterial small subunit ribosomal RNA", at positions 524 to 776 of the family's 1533-position model. The record is from RNAcentral.